RNAcentral lists this non-coding RNA (188 nucleotides) under Candidatus Hydrogenedens sp. Its description in RNAcentral is "6S RNA". It matches the Rfam family "6S / SsrS RNA". Rfam says of the family: E. coli 6S RNA was the first non coding RNA to be sequenced, but its function was unknown until recently. It consists of 184 nucleotides that fold into an extended hairpin structure with a large single-stranded internal bulge. Lineage: Bacteria; Pseudomonadati; Candidatus Hydrogenedentota; Candidatus Hydrogenedentia; Candidatus Hydrogenedentales; Candidatus Hydrogenedentaceae. The record is from RNAcentral.
UUUUCCCUGCCAUGUGCGACACGGUUUAAAAGCACUUGACCUUUCGUAUGAACUGGGAGUCCAAUAUUUGACAGCCUGUGGUAUACCACCAUUGCGCGGGAACUGAACGGCUGACGUGAGGACACCCCCCUGUUGAGGGAAAGGUUCACUACGCUUUUCGCAAACCGACCGGCAUGUGCGGGGUUUUU